This 274-nucleotide ribosomal RNA is filed under the name uncultured bacterium. RNAcentral describes it as "partial 16S ribosomal RNA". It matches the Rfam family "Bacterial small subunit ribosomal RNA", at positions 523 to 796 of the family's 1533-position model. The record is from RNAcentral.
AUACGGAGGGUGCAAGCGUUAUCCGGAUUCAUUGGGUUUAAAGGGUGCGCAGGCGGAUAUUUAAGUCAGUGGUGAAAUCCCGGGGCUCAACCUCGGAACUGCCAUUGACACUGAAUAUCUGGAAUACGGUUGAAGUGGGCGGAAUGUAGCAUGUAGCGGUGAAAUGCAUAGAGAUGCUACAGAACACCGAUCGCGAAGGCAGCUCACUAAGCCGAUAUUGACGCUCAGGCACGAAAGCGUGGGGAGCGAACAGGAUUAGAAACCCCAGUAGUCC